GCCCCGUUCGUCUAGAGGCCUAGGACGCUAGAUUUUCAUUCUAGAAACCAGGGGUUCGAAUCCCCUACGGGGUA
Molecule: transfer RNA, 74 nt
Filed under: Bacteroidales bacterium
Lineage: Bacteria; Pseudomonadati; Bacteroidota; Bacteroidia; Bacteroidales
Description: tRNA-Glu
Rfam family: tRNA
About the family: Transfer RNA (tRNA) molecules are approximately 80 nucleotides in length. Their secondary structure includes four short double-helical elements and three loops (D, anti-codon, and T loops). Further hydrogen bonds mediate the characteristic L-shaped molecular structure. tRNAs have two regions of fundamental functional importance: the anti-codon, which is responsible for specific mRNA codon recognition, and the 3' end, to which the tRNAs corresponding amino acid is attached (by aminoacyl-tRNA synthetases). tRNAs cope with the degeneracy of the genetic code in two manners: having more than one tRNA (with a specific anti-codon) for a particular amino acid; and 'wobble' base-pairing, i.e. permitting non-standard base-pairing at the 3rd anti-codon position.
Source: RNAcentral